UACGAGUGCCCCAAGCGUUAUCCGGAAUUACUGGGCGUAAAGGGUGUGUAGGUGGUCUUGUUAGUCUCUUGUUAAAUUCUUCGGCUUAACCGAAGACUCGCGGGAGAAACGGCAAGACUCGAGGGUGCGAGAGGUGUACGGAACUCAUGGUGUAGGGGUGAAAUCCGUUGAUAUCAUGGGGAACACCAAAUGCGAAGGCAGUACACUGGCGCAUUCCUGACACUGAAACACGAAAGCGUGGGUAGCGAACGGG
Molecule: unclassified non-coding RNA, 253 nt
Filed under: uncultured Parcubacteria group bacterium
Lineage: Bacteria
Description: contains 16S-23S intergenic spacer region
Rfam family: Bacterial small subunit ribosomal RNA
Source: RNAcentral